AGCGGUAGAGAGAAGCUUGCUUCUCUUGCCAGCGGCGGACGGGUGAGUAAUGCCUAGGAAUCUGCCUGGUAGUGGGGGAUAACGUUCGGAAACGAACGCUAAUACCGCAUACGUCCUACGGGAGAAAGCAGGGGACCUUCGGGCCUUGCGCUAUCAGAUGAGCCUAGGUCGGAUUAGCUAGUUGGUGAGGUAAUGGCUCACCAAGGCGACGAUCCGUAACUGGUCUGAGAGGAUGAUCAGUCACACUGGAACUGAGACACGGUCCAGACUCCUACGGGAGGCAGCAGUGGGGAAUAUUGGACAAUGGGCGAAAGCCUGAUCCAGCCAUGCCGCGUGUGUGAAGAAGGUCUUCGGAUUGUAAAGCACUUUAAGUUGGGAGGAAGGGCCAUUACCUAAUACGUGAUGGUUUUGACGUUACCGACAGAAUAAGCACCGGCUAACUCUGUGCCAGCAGCCGCGGUAAUACAGAGGGUGCAAGCGUUAAUCGGAAUUACUGGGCGUAAAGCGCGCGUAGGUGGUUUGUU
RNAcentral lists this ribosomal RNA (524 nucleotides) under Pseudomonas sp. RFLP-616. RNAcentral's name for it is "bacterial SSU rRNA". It matches the Rfam family "Bacterial small subunit ribosomal RNA", at positions 65 to 584 of the family's 1533-position model. Lineage: Bacteria; Pseudomonadati; Pseudomonadota; Gammaproteobacteria; Pseudomonadales; Pseudomonadaceae. The record is from RNAcentral.